CACGUAGUUAGCCGGAGCUUAUAAAUGGUACCGUCAUUUAUUCUUCCCAUUCUUUCGAAGUUUACAUACCGAAAUACUUCAUCCUUCACGCGGCGUUGCUGGGUCAGGCUUUCGCCCAUUGCCCAAAAUUCCCGA
This 135-nucleotide ribosomal RNA is filed under the name uncultured bacterium. RNAcentral's name for it is "partial 16S ribosomal RNA". The record is from RNAcentral.